RNAcentral lists this ribosomal RNA (296 nucleotides) under uncultured bacterium. RNAcentral describes it as "partial 16S ribosomal RNA". It matches the Rfam family "Bacterial small subunit ribosomal RNA", at positions 217 to 509 of the family's 1533-position model. The record is from RNAcentral.
GGUAGGGGUUAGGCUCGCGUGCCAUUAGGUAGACGGCGGGUAACGGCCCACCGUGCCGACGAUGGCUAGGGGUUCUGAGAGGAAGGUCCCCCACACUUGGAACUGAGACACGGUCCAGACUCCUACGGGAGGCAGCAGUGAGGAAUAUUGGACAAUGGCCGGAAGGCUGAUCCAGCCAUGCCGCGUGCGGGAGGACGGCCCUAUGGGUUGUAAACCGCUUUUGCGGGGGAGCUAAUAAGAGCCACGAGUGGUUCGAUGAGAGUACCCUGCGAAUAAGCAUCGGCUAACUCCGUGCC